CAGGAUGAACGCUGGCGGCGUGCUUAACACAUGCAAGUCGAACGGUGAAGCCCAGCUUGCUGGGUGGAUCAGUGGCGAACGGGUGAGUAACACGUGAGCAACCUGCCCCUGACUCUGGGAUAAGCGCUGGAAACGGCGUCUAAUACUGGAUAUGUGACGUGACCGCAUGGUCUGCGUCUGGAAAGAAUUUCGGUUGGGGAUGGGCUCGCGGCCUAUCAGCUUGUUGGUGAGGUAAUGGCUCACCAAGGCGUCGACGGGUAGCCGGCCUGAGAGGGUGACCGGCCACACUGGGACUGAGACACGGCCCAGACUCCUACGGGAGGCAGCAGUGGGGAAUAUUGCACAAUGGGCGCAAGCCUGAUGCAGCAACGCCGCGUGAGGGAUGACGGCCUUCGGGUUGUAAACCUCUUUUAGCAGGGAAGAAGCGAAAGUGACGGUACCUGCAGAAAAAGCGCCGGCUAACUACGUGCCAGCAGCCGCGGUAAUACGUAGGGCGCAAGCGUUAUCCGGAAUUAUUGGGCGUAAAGAGCUCGUAGGCGGUUUGUCGCGUCUGCUGUGAAAUCCGGAGGCUCAACCUCCGGCCUGCAGUGGGUACGGGCAGACUAGAGUGCGGUAGGGGAGAUUGGAAUUCCUGGUGUAGCGGUGGAAUGCGCAGAUAUCAGGAGGAACACCGAUGGCGAAGGCAGAUCUCUGGGCCGUAACUGACGCUGAGGAGCGAAAGGGUGGGGAGCAAACAGGCUUAGAUACCCUGGUAGUCCACCCCGUAAACGUUGGGAA
Molecule: ribosomal RNA, 777 nt
Filed under: Microbacterium maritypicum
Lineage: Bacteria; Bacillati; Actinomycetota; Actinomycetes; Micrococcales; Microbacteriaceae
Description: bacterial SSU rRNA
Rfam family: Bacterial small subunit ribosomal RNA
Source: RNAcentral